This 772-nucleotide ribosomal RNA is filed under the name uncultured bacterium. RNAcentral describes it as "bacterial SSU rRNA". It matches the Rfam family "Bacterial small subunit ribosomal RNA", at positions 8 to 796 of the family's 1533-position model. The record is from RNAcentral.
AGAGUUUGAUCAUGGCUCAGGACGAACGCUGGCGGCGCGCCUAAUACAUGCAAGUCGAGCGAGAACCAGGACUUCGGUCCUGGGGAGAGCGGCGAACGGGUGCGUAUCACGUGAGCAACCUGCCUCGGAGACCGGAAUAACUCGAGGAAACUCGGGCUAAUGCCGGAUGCCCUCGGUGGACCGCAUGGUCCGGCGAGGAAAUGGAUUCCGCUCCGAGAUGGGCUCGCGGCCUAUCAGCUUGUUGGUGGGGUAACGGCCUACCAAGGCGACGACGGGUAGCUGGUCUGAGAGGACGAUCAGCCACACUGGGACUGAGACACGGCCCAGACUCCUACGGGAGGCAGCAGUAGGGAAUCUUGCGCAAUGGGGGAAACCCUGACGCAGCGACGCCGCGUGCGGGAUGAAGGCCUUCGGGUCGUAAACCGCUUUCAGCAGGGACGAAAUUGACGGUACCUGCAGAAGAAGGCCCGGCCAACUACGUGCCAGCAGCCGCGGUGAUACGUAGGGGUCUAGCGUUGUCCGGAAUUAUUGGGCGUAAAGAGCUCGUAGGCGGUUCGGCAAGUCGGAUGUGAAAUCUCCACGCUUAACGUGGAGGGGCCAUUCGAAACUGCCGUGACUCGAGUCCGGUAGGGGAGUUCGGAAUUCCCGGUGUAGCGGUGAAAUGCGCAGAUAUCGGGAGGAACACCAGUGGCGAAGGCGGAACUCUGGGCCGGAACUGACGCUGAGGAGCGAAAGCGUGGGGAGCGAACAGGAUUAGAUACCCUAGUAGUCC